GCAGGUCAGCAUACUGCCGUGAAUACGUUCCCGGGCCUUGUACACACCGCCCGUCACACCAUGAGAGUUGGGAAUACCCGAAGCCUGUGAGCUAACUUAUAGAGGCAGCAGUCGAAGGUAGAAUCAAUGAUUGGGGUGAAGUCGUAACAAGGUAGC
RNAcentral lists this ribosomal RNA (156 nucleotides) under uncultured bacterium. Its description in RNAcentral is "partial 16S ribosomal RNA". It matches the Rfam family "Bacterial small subunit ribosomal RNA", at positions 1344 to 1500 of the family's 1533-position model. The record is from RNAcentral.